GCUCUCGGGUGACGAGCGGCGGACGGGUGAGUAAUGUCUGGGAAACUGCCUGAUGGAGGGGGAUAACUACUGGAAACGGUAGCUAAUACCGCAUAAUGUCGCAAGACCAAAGUGGGGGACCUUCGGGCCUCAUGCCAUCAGAUGUGCCCAGAUGGGAUUAGCUAGUAGGUGGGGUAACGGCUCACCUAGGCGACGAUCCCUAGCUGGUCUGAGAGGAUGACCAGCCACACUGGAACUGAGACACGGUCCAGACUCCUACGGGAGGCAGCAGUGGGGAAUAUUGCACAAUGGGCGCAAGCCUGAUGCAGCCAUGCCGCGUGUGUGAAGAAGGCCUUCGGGUUGUAAAGCACUUUCAGCGGGGAGGAAGGCGUUAAGGUUAAUAACCUUGUCGAUUGACGUUACCCGCAGAAGAAGCACCGGCUAACUCCGUGCCAGCAGCCGCGGUAAUACGGAGGGUGCAAGCGUUAAUCGGAAUUACUGGGCGUAAAGCGCACGCAGGCGGUCUGUCAAGUCGGAUGUGAAAUCCCCGGGCUCAACCUGGGAACUGCAUUCGAAACUGGCAGGCUAGAGUCUUGUAGAGGGGGGUAGAAUUCCAGGUGUAGCGGUGAAAUGCGUAGAGAUCUGGAGGAAUACCGGUGGCGAAGGCGGCCCCCUGGACAAAGACUGACGCUCAGGUGCGAAAGCGUGGGGAGCAAACAGGAUUAGAUACCCUGGUAGUCCACGCCGUAAACGAUGUCGAUUUGGAGGUUGUGCCCUUGAGGCGUGGCUUCCGGAGCUAACGCGUUAAAUCGACCGCCUGGGGAGUACGGCCGCAAGGUUAAAACUCAAAUGAAUUGACGGGGGCCCGCACAAGCGGUGGAGCAUGUGGUUUAAUUCGAUGCAACGCGAAGAACCUUACCUGGUCUUGACAUCCACAGAACUUAGCAGAGAUGGUUUGGUGCCUUCGGGAACUGUGAGACAGGUGCUGCAUGGCUGUCGUCAGCUCGUGUUGUGAAAUGUUGGGUUAAGUCCCGCAACGAGCGCAACCCUUAUCCUUUGUUGCCAGCGGUCCGGCCGGGAACUCAAAGGAGACUGCCAGUGAUAAACUGGAGGAAGGUGGGGAUGACGUCAAGUCAUCAUGGCCCUUACGACCAGGGCUACACACGUGCUACAAUGGCAUAUACAAAGAGAAGCGACCUCGCGAGAGCAAGCGGACCUCAUAAAGUAUGUCGUAGUCCGGAUUGGAGUCUGCAACUCGACUCCAUGAAGUCGGAAUCGCUAGUAAUCGUAGAUCAGAAUGCUACGGUGAAUACGUUCCCGGGCCUUGUACACACCGCCCGUCACACCAUGGGAGUGGGUUGCAAAAGAAG
Molecule: ribosomal RNA, 1349 nt
Filed under: Klebsiella pneumoniae
Lineage: Bacteria; Pseudomonadati; Pseudomonadota; Gammaproteobacteria; Enterobacterales; Enterobacteriaceae
Description: bacterial SSU rRNA
Rfam family: Bacterial small subunit ribosomal RNA
Source: RNAcentral